Long non-coding RNA from Camelus dromedarius (Arabian camel), 1187 nucleotides. RefSeq lists it as uncharacterized. The record is from RefSeq and is a predicted model, not a curated record. The transcript has 3 exons. NCBI's taxonomy places the organism in Eukaryota, Metazoa, Chordata, Mammalia, Artiodactyla, Camelidae.
AAUGUUAUAAAGGAAUGGGUGAGGGAAGGCCUUCCUAAGAAUGAGAUCUGAGGAAUGGGCAGGAGUCAGCCGGGGGAGAGGGUAGAAAAGCGUUCCAGGCAAGAGUCCCAGACCAAGAUAAAGGAGAGCGUGGUGAUUUGGGGAGUGGAGAGAAAUCCGCAGGGCUCUUGCAGAGUUGGAGGAGGACAGUAGUGCUAGAUACUCGCAUCUCCCUUCAAGGAAGGAUUUGGUGUCCAGCUGUGGCGCAUGCAGUGAUCAGGGAACAGGAUACAGCUGUCGGCUCCUCAGUAAGCCUCGCCUCUCCUCUCCUGCGCAGACUCGCCCAAGGUCACGCCCUUCCCGGGGUCGCUUGCCGUCGUCUGGUGGCUGGUGAGACGGGGAGACCCAGGCACAGCCAGCGGCCCGGGGUGCGGAGAACACCCUCCCGGGCAACGCUCACCCCAGAGCUCCCGGCUCCGUUGGGUCUGCAUCGCCCUUCAGCUGCUUCCCCGCGCUAACCCGGCGUCUGCCCGCCUCCUUUCACAGGCGCGGAUCCUUGCUCUUCACCUCGCUUCUUAAACUCGGUGCCAGAGCCAGCUCCAGGAGGACCCAGCCUCCCCCAGCAAGGAAGGAGGAAGGUUUUUCUGGUCAUGUGUGAUCUCCUCAGACACGGGGGAGGUAAGAGUCCCUGAGGCCUAACAGGAAUGGACCCCACGUCCGGUGAGCAGGAACAACUUUGGCGUCUUCAUGGAAGGAUCUGAAGGGUCUCAGCCAUUGAGCUGGGUGCUGGGGAUACAGUGAUGACGAAGACAUACCUCACCCUCAAGAACUAGUGGACAUCACCCACUUAGUCUAUGAAGAGAAGACACACUAAGACUGUUCAAGUACAUUUGGGAGGAUCCACGGAGAAAAGCGAGUGAGCCCUCCUCUCAGUCUCAUCUCGCGGGAGAUCACACAGGCUGGCUCUGAUGCCCGUUCACAAGUUCCUGGAAAAGCUGGAAAUGACAGGGAGGUCCCGUGUGUGGCUCUCUGUGAUGGCAUCGUUAAAAAGCAGCGUUUAAUCUCUGCAAUCCCCGACUUUAAAAUGACUGCCGUUGUGUGAGUCGGAAGACGUGGCGACAGGGCUGAGGAGGUCACGGCGGCAAAGAUACAAGGAAGUAUCUGAAAAGAAUUCUUUAAAAAAAUAAAAAAAAUCUCUUUGUACAGAA